This 472-nucleotide ribosomal RNA is filed under the name uncultured bacterium. Its description in RNAcentral is "bacterial SSU rRNA". It matches the Rfam family "Bacterial small subunit ribosomal RNA", at positions 355 to 825 of the family's 1533-position model. The record is from RNAcentral.
UGGGGAAUUUUUCGCAAUGGGCGCAAGCCUGACGAAGCAACGCCGCGUGGAGGAUGAAGGUCUUCGGAUUGUAAACUCCUGUCGACCGGGACGAAUGCACCCGACCUAAUACGUCGAAGUGUUGACGGUACCGGUGGAGGAAGCCACGGCUAACUCUGUGCCAGCAGCCGCGGUAAUACAGAGGUGGCAAGCGUUGUUCGGAAUUACUGGGCGUAAAGGGCGCGUAGGCGGCCUUAUAAGUCUCGUGUGAAAGCCCUCGGCUUAACUGAGGAUCUGCACGGGAUACUGUAAGGCUCGAGUUCGGGAGAGGAAAGCGGAAUUCCAGGUGUAGCGGUGAAAUGCGUAGAUAUCUGGAGGAAUACCGGUGGCGAAGGCGGCAUCCUGGACCAUUACUGACGCUGAGGCGCGAAAGCUAGGGGAGCAAACGGGAUUAGAUACCCCCGUAGUCCCUGAGCGGGCUGGCAAGGCGCAU